Molecule: long non-coding RNA, 779 nt
Organism: Priapulus caudatus
Lineage: Eukaryota; Metazoa; Priapulida; Priapulimorpha; Priapulimorphida; Priapulidae
Exons: 3
Source: RefSeq, a predicted model, not a curated record
UCGCACUGCGGGGAGUGUGGCCGGUCCCUGGGAACUGUCCUCACUCCUUGCAGACGAUGUAACGCCGUUGCCUUCUGUAGCAACGUGUGCCGGGUGCAUGGCUGGAAGAUGUGGCACAAACACACCUGCGGAGCCGGCGGAGCACGACUGAUGCAUCCUUCGAGGGACGUCUGCACACAGCAGGCGUUUGCAACUACGGUGCCGAUCUUGACGCGGACUGACCUGAUACCGUGGCACACAGUAGCUGAGGUUGACACUCAGGUCAAUGCUGAACCAAAGCAGACCCUCGCUUAUUCCUACAGUGGACCGCACAAUUACAGUUACAUUUAGGUGUACAUGUAGAUAUGUAGUGUAUGGGAUGUCUACAGUCAUACGUGUAGCAUAUGUGAUGUCUACAUUCAUACGUGUUGUGUAUGUGAUGUCAUCAUUCAUAUGUGUAGUGUAUGUGAGGUCUACAUUCAUACGUGUAGUGUAUGUGAGGUCUACAUUCAUACGUGUAGUAUAUGUGAUGUCUACAGUCAUACGUGUAGUGUAUGUGAGGUCUACAUUCAUACGUGUAGUAUAUGUGAGGUCUACAUUCAUACGUGUAGUAUAUGAGAUGUCUACAGUCAUACGUGUAGUGUAUAUGUGAGGUCUACAUUCAUACGUGUAGUGUAUGUGAGGUCUACAUUCAUACGUGUAGUAUAUGUGAGGUCUACAGUCAUACGUGUAGUGUGUAUGUGAGGUCUACAUUCAUACGUGUAGUAUAUGUGAUGUCUACAGUCAUACGUAAAUGAUGA